RNAcentral lists this long non-coding RNA (38564 nucleotides) under Capsicum annuum. Its description in RNAcentral is "long non-coding RNA (CANN_LNC021999)". Lineage: Eukaryota; Viridiplantae; Streptophyta; Magnoliopsida; Solanales; Solanaceae. The record is from RNAcentral.
AAGUUUGUGGCGUAGGCCCAUGCGUUGUUGUUAACUGGAUCUGCAAGGUGGUCAGCGAGGUUUUCCAAUGGACCCUUUCCGGUAACAAUGGCCUGAACAAAGAAUCCGAACAUAGAGAACAUAGCAAGUCUACCGUUCUUGAUCUCCUUUACCUUGAGCUCAGCAAAUGCCUCUGGAUCAUCAGCAAGACCCAAUGGGUCAAAACUGCCCCGGGGUAUAGUGGGUCGACAACUUCACCAAGAGGCCCACCAGCAAUACGGUAUCCCUCAACGGCUCCCAUCAAGACAACUUGGCAAGCCCAGAUGGCCAAGAUGCUCUGUGCAUGAACCAAGCUUGGGUUGCCCAAGUAGUCAAGUCCACCCUCGCUGAAGAUUUGGGAUCCAGCCUUGAACCACACAGCCUCACCAAACUUGACACCGUUACGGGCCAACAGCUCGGGGAAGACACAUCCAAGGGCACCAAGCAUAGCCCAUCUGCAGUGGAUCACCUCGAGUUCUCGGUUCUUGGCAAAGGUUUCUGGAUCUGCUGAAAGUCCACCGGUGUCCCACCCGUAGUCACCAGGGAAUUCACCGGUCAAGUAGCUUGGGGCCUCACCGGAGAAUGGGCCCAAGUACUUAACACGGUCUGGGCCAUACCAUGGGCUGCCAGAUGAGGCAGGCUUGGUGACAGCCUUUCUCACAGAGAUCCUUCCAUUUCCAGUGAUUUCUGAGGCAGAGGGUGAGAGUUUCACUGCCUGUCCAGCAAAAGAAGGGGAAGAAAGAGCCAUUGUAGAAGCUGCCAUGGCUUAUCUCAAGAGAAAGGUAAGUGUUUGAUGGUAUAAAAUAUUGUUGAAGUUGGUUGUAAGGAUGCUGAAGUUAGUUGGGUUCAGAAUGUAUAGGGGUUAAGUAGAGAGAAAAAAUCCUCUUAUCUAGUGCUGUCUAUAGCUAUGAUUUCAUUGGGUAUCAAGAUCCCAUGUAUAGCAAUUAAUGCACUCUUGGCAAUCUCCAAUCCAUCAAUUUUCCAAGAUGUUCACUAAGGGGAACCCAACCAAUUUUGUCUUCCUAUAUGUGGCUGCAAAGCUUGAAAUCUAUUCUAUGAUUUCUUGAGCUUCAAUAUGAUAUCUCUUAUCCAUUGAGAAUUUCUCAAGAUUUUAUCCACCAGGAGUAUAGCUCAUUCAGUGUAGAACUAUGGCUUAGCAUUUCACUAAUUAAAUUGAGGAAAAGCUGAAAUUCAUUUGUAUCAGAUCAUCAAUUACUAAUGUUUGUCAAAAGAUUAACCUGUAAUUGCUUAAUAAGAAAAGGUGGAUCAAGAAUUGAACUUUAUGAGUUCUGAAAUCCUGGACUAGACCUUAAGUAGUAUAUCCUCCGCCUCAAUUUAUGUGACACAAUUGAAAUUUCGCGAGUCUACCAAGUUUUUUUUUGAUGGAAAUAUCUUUGUAUGUCUUUUAAAUAUUUCAAGUUGUUAAUUAUUGAUAGUAGUACUUUUUGUUUUUAGAUGACCGUGGUGUCCCAUACUUGCCACCUCCCACCAACAUGGGAUUUGAACCUAAAACCUUUGAGGUUCUCAACCCACUUCAUUGACCAUUAGACCUUGGGUGCAUUGUGAUUUACAGUAUUGUUUUAAUAGUUUCCAAGUACAUAGAUUUUAUUUCAAAAAACUUAAAACUUUUGUGUCCAAAUUGACUGUUAAAAGUUUGAAUUUUGAAAUUCCUACCGUGCCACAUAACAGAGGGAGUAAUAAAAAGAUUCUGAAUUUGAUGUACAUACAUAUUUAAUGGUUUUUGUAACACAUAUACAUAAUUUGGGCCAAAGCUACUUGGUUCUAUCAAACAGUAUGCUGAAGGCUACCCCUGCACCUGUUAAUAAGUGAUAUGAUUGUAUUUAGUAUUUUUUAUAAUGUUAAUGCAUAGAACUUAAUUUCCUUUGUAGUAAGUUUCAUGUAUAGCUUACUUUUAUCUUCUUCUUACUAUGUCCUUUUGGCUCUGGUCAUUACUAUGUGCCAUGUUUCGAAGGAUGCCUGCCUCUGUUAAAUAAGCCGUCACACAGGCAUGCAAGGAAGGAAGGAAGAGUAUACAAGAAAUUUAUGGAUUUGUUCAAAUAAAAGAUGCUAAUUAAAUUAACGUACACGUAAACCUAAGUAUUAUGACCUGGAAACUCAUAUAGCAGUACUUGCUACAUUCAGACCACAAAAAUAUUGGUUUUCCCUUUUAACUGAAAUGUCAUUGGUCUAGUAGUAAAAUAAUAUGAUGAUCCUCUUUCACUUCUUGACAGAAAAAUGAGUAAUAAUGUAAUAACAUCAUAUCGUUCAACAUUAUUCUUUGCACUCAUUUUGAGUAUUGCUUCUUGAGAAUUAAUUGAAUUCCAUUAGUUCCUCCGGUCUGAAAAAUGUAAGUUUUAGCUUUUAACAGCUUUAUAACUUUUCUAGUUACCAUAUCCCAAUUGUAGCUUCGGUCUUUUUCUGCUAUGCUCUUCUUCGUUUUUCCUUUGGUAUGAAAGUGGCAAUAUAUGAUUCAUGUCUUUGGAAAGUGAAACUCAGAACUAGACCGUCAAUGGAAAAUAACAAACAUUUAUUCUAUUGUCAACUCACUCACAACAACUUUACAAGGCCAUCAAACAAUCAAAUUUUAAGAAUUAUAUUAUGAUAUUCAUUUUCCAGGAACAAAGUUUGUGGCGUAGGCCCAGGCAUUGUUGUUAACCGGAUCUGCUAGAUGGUCAGCAAGGUUCUCCAAUGGACCCUUUCCUGUAACAAUGGCCUGAACAAAGAAUCCAAACAUAGAGAACAUAGCAAGUCUACCGUUCUUGAUCUCCUUUACCUUGAGCUCAGCAAAUGCCUCUGGAUCAUCAGCAAGACCUAAUGGGUCAAAGCUGCCACCGGGAUAGAGUGGGUCGACAACCUCGCCAAGAGGCCCACCAGCAAUACGGUAUCCCUCAACGGCUCCCAUCAAGACAACUUGGCAAGCCCAGAUGGCCAAGAUGCUCUGUGCAUGGACCAAACUUGGGUUGCCCAAGUAGUCAAGUCCACCCUCGCUGAAUAUCUGGGAUCCAGCCUUGAACCACACAGCCUCACCAAACUUGACACCAUUACGGGCCAAGAGCUCGGGGAAAACACAUCCAAGAGCACCAAGCAUAGCCCAUCUGCAGUGGAUCACCUCGAGUUCACGGUUCUUGGCAAAGGUUUCUGGGUCUGCUGAAAGUCCAGCGGUGUCCCACCCGUAGUCACCGGGAAAUUCACCGGUCAAGUAGCUUGGAGACUCACCUGAGAAUGGACCCAAGUACUUGACACGGUCUGGCCCAUACCAUGGGCUGCCAGAUGAGGCUGGCUUGGAGACAGCCUUUCUCAUAGAGAUCCUUCCAUUUCCAGUGAUUUCUGAGGCAGAGGGUGAGAGUUUCACUGCCUGUCCAGCAAAAGAAGGUGAAGAAAGUGCCAUUGUAGAAGCUGCCAUGGCUUAUCAAGAGAAAAGUAAGUGUUUGAUGGUAUGAAAUAUUGUUGAAGUUGGCUGUGAUGAGGUGAAGUUAAUUGCAAUUAAUGCACUCCUGAGAAUCUCCAAUCUAUCAAUUUUCCAAUAUGUUUAUAAAGGGGGACCUAACCAAUUUUGUCCUCCUAUAUGUGGCUGCAAGGCUUGAAAUCUAUUCUAUGAUUUCUUGAGCUUCAAUAUGAUAUCUUUUAUCCAUUGGGAAUUUCUCAAGAUUUUAUCCACCAUGACUAUAGUUCAUUCAGAGUAGAACUAUGUCUUAGUAUUUCACUAAAUAAAUUGAGGAAAAGCUGAAAUUCAUUUGUAUCAUAUUAUCAAUUACAAAUGUUUGUCAAAGAUUAACCUGUAAUUGCUUAAUAAGAAAAGGUGGAUCAAGAUUUGAACUUUAUGAGUUCAGUUCUGAAAUCUAGGACUAGACCUUAAGUAGUAUACCCUCCGUCCCAAUGUAUGUGGCACAAUUGGAAUUUCGAGAGUCAAUCAAAUUUUUCUUUGAUGAAAAUUCUUUGUCUUUUAAAUAUUUCAAGUUGUUAAUUAUUGUGAUUUGUUGUAGUACUUUUUAUUUUUAGAUAACCGUGGUGUGAGGUAUUUGCCACCUCCCACCAACAUGGGAUUUGAACAUAAGACCUUAAUCCACUUCAUGGACCAUUAAGCCAUAACCUUGGGUGCAUUGUGAUUUAUAGUAUUGUUUACAUAGUUUCCAAGUACAUAAACUUUAUUCUUCAAAAAACUUAAAACUUUUUUGUCUAAAUUGAUUGUCAAAGUUUAAAAGUUUGAGUUUCGAAAUUCUGAUUGUGCCACAUAAAUAAAACAGUGGGAGUAGUAAAUAGAUUCUGAAUUUGAUUUAUAUAUCUAUUUAAUGAUUUUUUUAACACAUAUACAUAAUUUGGAUCAAGGCUACUUGGUUCUGUCAAACAGUAUGCUGAAGGCUACGUCUGCCCCUGUCAAAUAAGUGAUCUAAUUUUAUUAAUAUUUUUUAUAAUGCCAAUGCAUAGAACUUAAUUUCCUUUGUAGUAAGUGUCAUGUAUAUCUACUUUUAUCUUCUUCUUACUAUGUCCUUUUGGCUCUGGUCAUUACUAUGUGCCAUGUUUCGAAGGAUGCCUGCCUCUGUUAAAUAAGCCGUCACACAGGAAUGCAAGGAAGGAAGAGUAUACAAGAAAUUUAUGAAUUUGUUCAAAUUAAAGAUGCUAAUUAAAUUAACGUACACGUAAACCUAAGUAUUAUGACCUGGAAACUCAUAUAGUAGUACUUGCCAGUAGGGCUGGGCAUAUUUUGGUUUAAACCGAAAAAACUGAAAAAUCAAAUCGAAAUUUUAAUUUCGAUUUAGUUUUUCGAUUUCUUGGAUCGGUUUUGAUUUUCAAUUUUUGAAAUUCGGUUAAACGGUUUGGUGUUCAUUUUUUCAAAAAACAAAAAAUUUGGAUAAACCGAUUAACCGAAAUUCUAUAAAUAAUUAAUAAUAUAUAUAUAUAUUAUUUAAUAUAUAAUAAAAUAAUAUAAAUAUAUAAUAGCCACCCUAAUAACUAAUAAGUAAUAGCACGCCACAUACAGCUAAAAACAUACAUCAGUCCAAUAUUAGAACAAUCGAUUGAACCAUCGACCGCCAGCGAGAUCGUCGUCUGUACAACGACACUAGAGCGGGCGACCAGACGACCACUGUGGGCUGCAGCCUGCAGCGCCGUCUGUGGUCUUUCCGGCAGCGACCACUCUUCCGAGUUUCGACUGUUUAUGCAAACUUAUGUUAUUUUCGUUUGUACUUCGGGUACACAGAAUCUGUAUAUGCAGAAACAGCAACUUCAACUAAAGUUCAAGUAUAUAAACAAGAACACAAUGAAGUAUAUCAAAUACCCUCAACACAAGAUCAAAAUGACCUUUCCAAGAGGUGUAUUUUAUUUUUCAGAAAAUAGAUGAAACAGAAAUGAAUAAGACCAAGCAGUCCGAAUUCACGGACUUUCCUUAAGGAAUAAUGCCCCUCACUGUAUCCGAGGUUAUGGAAUCUUCCUCCCAGGAUAAAAUGGCCUUCAAUCCGACUAUAGCGGUACCUCAAAUAAGCGGAUUCUUCAAACACACAGAACGCUUUGAUUGAUCACACAGAAUAUUUGUAAAGAAAAGAAGAGAGUUUUUAUUCUGCAAAAUUUUUAUAUCAAAACCUGUAAAGGUAAGCAGGUUUAUAUAGCCUAGCAAAUGCCUCUUCGAAAAGGUGGCAUUGGUUCACUUAAAUGGUGUGAUAUUUCUGAAAAUGCAUGUCUGCAACAUUUUUGCUGAAGCAGUAUACCAUUUCACCAAACAGUGCACCUGUUCGAAACAGUACAUCACUUCAUUGAAGAAUUGUAUCUGUUCAGUCGAAGCAAAAAUAGUAUAUCAGUUCAGUGCAUGCAUCAGUUCAGUCAAAACGAAACAGUACAUCAGUUCAGUCAAAACAGUGCAUCAUUUCUGUUGAAACAUUGCAUCUAUUACAGUUACUACAUGUAUUUCGUUAAAUAAAGUUUGUCCAAAAAAGAUAGAUCUCAUCGAUCUAUCAUUUUCCAAAUUCGAAUCCAAAUUCGAAGCCGAGAGAGCGACGACGACGACGGCACGAGGCAUCUCUUAUUUCUUGCCUCACUUAUCAUGUGGAGUAAGUAUUCAUCAUUAUAAACACUCCAAAGUUCCCUUCUCCCAUAAAUGUGGGAGAAUUAGUGAACUUUUUAAUUUUGGGAGUAUACUUUCCAAAUUGGUGUCUCCUCUUCUCCACCAUUUUUUUCUCUAUUUUCCAUUCACACUUUUAUGAAACUAACAAUCCCCCACAUGAAUGGGGAAUGGCUAUUUUUUGUAAAAAUUUUACGGACAAGAAUAUGAUCAUCAAGCAAAGACUGAUUUCAUCUGGAUAAGUGGGUUUCCCUUUGAACUUUCCGUAGUGAACAUGCAUCAGAUGCACUCGGUAAAUUGAUAGAUUUGAUAUCUUUGAACCGUCGAGCUUUAAUGUACACCUAGACAACACAUAUCACACAACCAUCCUUUUAACAUUUAUGGUUCUUACAAUUUUGUUCUUUUCAUCCAUGAACACGUCCCGGUUUUCAUGAGGGCUUAGAGAAUAGGCCUUUACUAACAUUCUCCUUGAAGCGGCUUUCACUUCACCCUUACAUAGGUGAUUUCUAAACGUUCUAUCCUGCAGAUUAAAAUAUUUGGUCAAAUCUGCCAAAUUUAGAUAAUCAUUAAAAGACUUUUCACCUUAAGUUUUAUCCUAGUUUACUAUACAUUAUCUACAUCAUGAGAAUGGGUUGGGUAAUUGACAAUGUUGAACCUGUCAGACACAACUUUGUUUGAUCUCCUUUAACCUAGUUGGGAUCGCCAGUCUGCUAGGUAGAGUUAUCGCUAUGCUGACUCGUCCUAGGCCUUAAACCCAUUCUCUUGGAUGUUCUUUCCACUCCUUCUCUAGAUAGGCCUUUUGUAAGUGGAUCCGACACAUUAUCAUUUGACUUUACAUAGUCAAUAAUGAUAAUUCCACUAGAGAGAAUUUCCCUAACGGUAUUAUGUCUCCGUCGUACGUGACGAGAUUUACGGUUGUACAUCAUGCUCCCUGCCCUACCUAUUGCCGCUUGGCUAUCAUAGUGUAUACAUACUGGUGCCACUGGUUUGGGCCAAUACAAAAUAUCUCCCAAGAAAUUUCGGAGCCAUUCUGCUUCUUCACCAGCUUUAUCUAAUGCGAUAAAUUCAGAUUCCAUUGUAGAGCGAGUGAUACAAGUCUGUUUGGAUGAUUUCCAAGAAAUUGCUCCUCCACCGAUAGUAAAUACAUAUCCACUUGUGGAUUUUACUUCGUUCGAUCCGGUGAUCCAAUUUGUAUCACUAUGUCCUUCAAGUACCGCAGGAUAUUUAUUAUAAUGCAAAGCAUAGUUUUGAAUGUAUUUUAAGAUACCCCAAAACUCUUUUCAUUGCCAUCCAAUGAGUUUUGUUGGGAUUACACCUGUACCGACUCAAUUUUGUAGUUGCACAUGCUAUGUCCGGUUGUGUACAGUUCAUUAUAUACAUUAAAAAUCCCAAUACUCUUGCGUACUCCAAUUGUGAAUCACUUUCACCUUCAUUCUUUCGAAGUGCAAAGUUCACGUCCAAUGGAGUCAUGGCAAUACCGAAUUCCAUAUCCUUGAACUUGUCAAGUACUUUUUCGAUAUAAUGAGACUGUGACAAUGCUAACCCUUGUGGAUUUUGAUGGAUUCUUAUACCUAAGAUUACAUCUGCAACUCCAAGGUCUUUCAUAUCAAACUUGCUCUCGAGCAUUCGUUUGAUUGCAUUUAUGUCACAAAUAUAUCUGCUGAUGAUCAACAUAUCAUCCACAUAUAAACAAACAAUGACUUGGUGAUUUGGUGUGUCUUUAAUAUAUAAACAUUUGUCACAUUCAUUUAUCUUGAAUCCAUUUGCCAACAUGGUUUGGUCAAACUUUGCAUAUCAUUGCUUAGGUGCUUGUUUUAGUCCAUAAAGUGACUUAACAAGUUUACACACCUUAUUUUCUUUUCCUGGCACCACAAAACCCUCAGGUUGUUCCAUGUAUAUUUCUUCCUCCAAAUCUCCAUUUAGGAAUGCGUUCUUCACAUCUAUUUGAUGGAUUUGAAAAUCAUAUACCACCACCAAGCCAAUUAACAUUCAAAUCGAGGUUAUCCUUGUUACUGGUGAGUAUGUAUCAAAGUAAUCAAGGCCUUCCUUCUGUUUGAAGCCUUUUACUAUAAGUCUUGCCUUGUAUUUGUCAAUUGUACUAUCUGCCUUCAUUUUUCUUUUGAAGAUCCAUUUAGAACCUAACGGUUUAUUUCCUGGAGAAAGGUCAACCAAUUUCCAUGUAUGGUUGCUUAAGAUUGAAUCUAUCUCACUAUUGACUGCCUCUUUCCAAAAGGAUGAGUCUGACGAUGGCAUCGCUUCUUUAAAUAUUUGAGGCUUAUUUUCUUAGAGAAAUGUUACAAAAUCUGAUCCAAAUGAAGUUGACAUUCUUUGAUGUGUACUAUGUCUUGGAUUUUCUUCAUUAUGUACAUUCUCACUUGGUUCAUCUCGAGGUCGCUUAGAUCCUCCACUAAACUGUUCAUGUCUAAUUUUAUACGGGUAAAUAUUUUUAAAGAAUUCAGCAUUGUCUGAUUCAAUAAUUGUAUUUUCAUUAAUAUCCGAAUGUUUGAAUUUAUGAACCAAAAAUCGACAUGCUUUACUACUUUUAGCAUAUCCUAUGAACACACAGUCCACUGUUUUAGGUCCUAUCUUAACCCUUUUAGGUACAGGAACUUGAACCUUCACUAGACACCCCCACACUUUGAAAUAUUCAAGCUGGGUUUCCUUCUUUUCCAUUUUUCGUAAGGAAUUGAUUGUGUCUUACUAUGGAAAACUCUGUUGAGUAUACGAUUGGCCAUAAGAAUAGCCUCCCAUCAUAAGUUUUGUGGUAAAGCAGAACUUAUAAGUAAGGCAUUCAUCAUUUCCUUCAAAUUUCGUUUUUUCCUUUCCGCAAUUCCAUUAGAUUGAGGUGAAUAUGGGGCCGUAGAUUGAUGGAUUAUUCCAUUCUCUACACAUAUUUGCGCAAAGGGAGAUUUAUAUUCUCCGCCCCUAUCACUUCUUAUCAUUUUGAUCUUUUUNNNNNNNNNNNNNNNNNNNNNNNNNNNNNNNNNNNNNNNNNNNNNNNNNNNNNNNNNNNNNNNNNNNNNNNNNNNNNNNNNNNNNNNNNNNNNNNNNNNNNNNNNNNNNNNNNNNNNNUAAACGCAUCUAUUGCUUCAUCCUUACUAUUUAUCGAGUAGACAUAACAGUAUCUAGUGCAAUCGUCAAUAAAAGUUAUGAAAUAUUUUUUCCCACCACGAGAUGGUGUUGACGUUAUAUCACAAAUGUCAGUGUGUAUUAAGUCUAAGGGAUUGGAAUUCCUUUCAACGGACUUAUAAGGAUGCUUUGCAUACUUCGAUUCCACACACGUUUGACACUUUGAUUUAUUGCACUCAAAGUUUGGCAAAACUUCUAAGCUAAUCAGUUUUCAUAACGUUUUAUAAUUAACAUGGCCUAAACAUUCAUGCCAUAAUAAGACUCAAGAAAAUAAGAAGAAUUCAAACUUUUAUUUAUUUCAACAGUCAUUACAUUCAUCUUAUAAAGUCCUUCGGUCAAAUAGCCUUUUCCUACAUACAUUUAUCCUUUGCUAAUUACAAUUUUUUCAGAAACGGUUACACAUUUGAAUCCGUUCUUGUCUAGAAGUGAAACAGAAAUUAAAUUCCUACGUAAAUACGGAACAUACAAGACAUUGUUAAGUGUCAAGACCUUUCCGGAAGUCAUAUUUAAGAAAAUUUUUCCUAUUCUUUCUACCUUAGCCGUAGCGGAGUUAGCCAUGUAGAUCAUUUCUUCUACUUGAGCAGAAGCAAAUAACGAAAACAGCUCCUUGUUGGCACAUACAUGGCGGGUGGCACCAGAAUCCAUCCACCCUUCACUAGGAUUCCCCGUCAAGUUGCAUUCUGAGAACAUAGCACACAGAUCAUCGAAUUCUUUGUUGGAUUCAAUCAUAUUUGCUUGAUCCUUCUUCUUUCCUUUCUUUGGGGCACGACAAUCUGUGGACUUGUGGCCAAUCUUGCCACAGUUGAAGCAUUUUCCCUUGAACUUUUUCUUGGUUUGAUUGCUUCCUUGUUUAGCUUUCUUCCUUUUCUUGAAAUUGUUUUGGUCAUCUUCUACAAUAUGUGCUCCAUUAAUUGUAGAAUUCCUCUUUGACCUUCUUUCGGAAGCUUUAUUAUCCUCUUCAAUACGAAGUCGGACAAAAAGUUCUUCAACAGUCAUCUCCUUGCGUUUAUGCUUUAAGUAGUUUUUGAAGUCUUUCCACAAAGGUGGUAGCUUCUCAACUAUCACUGCUACUUGGAAAUCAUCAUUCACAAUUAAACCUACAAUACAGUUUAUGUGAGUAUUAAGAACAUUUUUAAUUUGUUCAACUAAGGUAUUUUUCAAAGAUAUACCUUCUGCUAAGAGAUCAUGUAUGAUGACUUGCAACUCCUNNNNNNNNNNNNNNNNNNNNNNNNNNNNNNNNNNNNNNNNNNNNNNNNNNNNNNNNNNNNNNNNNNNNNNNNNNNNNNNNNNNNNNNNNNNNNNNNNNNNNNNNNNNNNNNNNNNNNNNNNNNNNNNNNNNNNNNNNNNNNNNNNNNNNNNNNNNNNNNNNNNNNNNNNNNNNNNNNNNNNNNNNNNNNNNNNNNNNNNNACAUAAAGUGGUGAGGUAAAAGAACAUCUUUUGCUGCCACCGCUUGAAGUCAAUGCUUGAAAAUAUUUUGGGCUACUCCGUCAGUGCCAUUGUUGGCGGAGCAUUUGUGUGACUUGAUGUGGCAAUAUUAGUUACCCCCAUAGACGUUGUCGCAUCUAUUAUUUCACUUUCGUUAGUCAUCUUUCCUGUCAACACAAGACAGAAAAAUUUAGUAUUUUCAGAAUAUUACUUAUAAAGUUAAAUAACUUUUCAACUUUUCUUCUUGUUUCUAAUUAACGACGAAGCUUUUAUAACUUCAAAUCGUCAACUGAGUGAACUUUAACUUGUGAUGAAGAUUUUAUGUCUUCUAAUCACUAGUUAAAUUCAAGCGGAGUAAAAAGUUUAAAGCUUUAAUCUCCAAAAACAAGUUAUACAGAUUCUGUAAAAGGAAUUAUUCCUUAAGAUUCUUAUUUUUGUUUUACUUUGGGUACACAGAAUUUGUAUAUGCAGAAACAACAACUUCAACUAAAGUUCAAGUUUAUAAACAAGAACACAAUGAAGUAUAUCAAAUACCCUCAACACAAGAUCAAAAUGACCUUUCCAAGAGGUAUAUUUUAUUUUUUAGAAAAUAGAUGAAACAGAAAUGAAUAAGACCAAGUCGUCCGAAUUCAUGGACUUUUCUUAAGGAUUAAUUCCCCUCACUGUAUCCGAGGUUAUGGAAUCUUCCUCCCAGGAUAAAAUGGCCUUCAAUCCGACUAUAGCGGUACCUCAAAUAGGCGGAUUCUUCGAACACACAGAACGUUUUGAUUGAUCACACAGAAUCUUUGUAAAGAAAAGAAGAGAGUUUUUAUUCUGAAAAUUUUUUAUAUCAAAACCUGUGAAGAAAAGCAUGUUUAUAUAGCCUAGCAGAUGCCUCUUCAAAAAGGUGGCAUUUGUUCACUUAAAUGGUGUGAUGUUUCUGAAAAUGCAUGUCUGCAGCACUUUUACUGAAGCAGUAUACCAUUUCACCAAAUAGUGCACCUGUUCAAAAUAGUACAUCACUUCAUUAAAGAAUUGCAUCUGUUCAGUCGAAGCAAAAACAGUAUAUCAGUUCAGUGCAUGCAUCUGUUCAGUCGAAAAGAAAUAGUACAUCAGUUUAGUCAAAAUAGUGCAUCAAUUCUGUCGAAACAUUGCAUCUGUUACUAUUACUAAAUGCAUAUAAAUGGAGUAUUUAUCAGAUUUCAUCAAAUAAAAUUUAUCCAAAAAGACAGAUAUCAUCGAUCGAUCAUUUUCCAAAUCCAAAUCCAAAUCUGAAGUCGAGCGACCGACGACAACAGUGGCGCGAGGAAUCUCUUAUUUCUUGCCUCACUUAUCAUGUGGAGUAAGUAUUCAGCAUUAUAAACACUCCAAAGUUUCUUUCUCCCACCAAUGUGGGAGAAUUAGUGAACUUUCCAAUUUUGGGAGUACACUUUCCAAAUUGGUGUCUCCUCUUCUCCAUAAUUUUUUUCUCCAUUUUCCAUUCACACUUCUAUGAACCCAACAAUCCCCCAUAUGAAUGGGGAAUAUAUAUUUUUCGUAAAACUUUUACGGACAAGAAUGUGAUCAUCAAGCAAAGACUGAUUCCAUCUGGAUAAGUGGGUUUCCCUUUGAACUUUCCGUAGUGAACAUGCAUCGGAUGCACUCGGUCAAUUGGUAGAUUUGAUAUCUUUGAACCGUUGAGCUUUAAUGUACACCUAGAUAACACAUGUCACACAACCAUCCUUUAACGUUUAUGGUUCUAACAAUUUUAUUCUUUUCAGUCAUGAACACGUCCCGGUUUUCAUGAGAGCUUAGAGAAUAGGCCUUUACUAAUAUUCGCCUUGAAGCAGCUUCCACUUCGCCCUCACAUAAGUGAUUUCUAAACGUUCAAUCCUGUAGAUUAAACUAUUUGGUCAAAUCUGUCAAAUUUAGAUAAUCAUUAAAAGACUUUUCACCUUAAGUCUUAUCCUAGUUUACUAUACAUUGUCUACAUCAUGAGAAUGGGUUGGGUAAUUGACAAUGUUGAACCUGUCAGACACGACUUUGUUUGAUCUCCUUGAACCUAGCUCUUGGGAUCUCCAGUCUGCUAGAUAGAGUUACCGCCACGUUGACUCAUCCUAGGCCUUAAACCCAUUCCCUUGGAUGUUCUUUCCACUCCUUAUCUAGAUAGGCCUUUUGUAAGUGGAUCCAACACAUUAUCCUUUAACUUUACAUAGUUAAUAGUGAUAAUUCCACUAGAGAGAAUUUCCCCAACGGUAUUAUGUCUCCGUCGUAUGUGAUGAGAUUUAUGGUUGUACAUCAUGCUCCCUGCCCUACCUAUUGCCGCUUGGCUAUCACAGUGUAUACAUACUGGUGCCACUGGCUUGGGCCAAUACAAAAUAUCUCCCAAGAAAUUUCGGAGCCAUUCUGCUUCUUCACCAGCUUUAUCUAAUGCGAUAAAUUCAGAUUCCAUUGUAGAGCGAGUGAUACAAGUCUGUUUGGAUGAUUUCCAAGAAACUGCUCCUCCACCGAUAGUAAAUACAUAUCCACUUAUAGAUUUUACUUCGUUUGAUCCGGUGAUCCGAUUUGCAUCACUAUGUCCUUCAAGUACCGCAGGAUAUUUAUUAUAAUACAAAACAUAGUUUUGAAUGUAUUUAAGAUACCCCAAAACUCUUUUCAUUUUCAUCCAAUGAGUUUUGUUGGGAUUACUCCUAUACCGACUUAAUUUACUAAUUGCACAUGCUAUGUCUGGUCGUGUAUAGUUCAUUAUAUACAUUAAACAUCCCAAUACUCUUGCAUAUUCCAAUUAUGAGUCAUUUUCACCUUCAUUCUUUUGAAGUGCAAAGUUCACAUCCAAUGGAGUCUUGACAAUACCGAAUUCCAUAUCCUUGAACUUGUCAAGUAAUUUUUUGAUAUAAUGAGACUAUAACAAUGCUAACCUUUGUGGAUUUUGAUGGAUUCUUAUACCUAAGAUCACAUCUGUAACUCUAAGGUCUUUCUUAUCAAACUUGCUCUAGGGCAUUCGUUUGGUUGCAUUUAUGUCACAAAUAUCUCUGCUGAUGAUCAACAUAUCAUCCACAUAUAAACAAACAAUGACUUGGUGAUUUGGUGUGUCUUUAAUAUAUAAACAUUUGUCACAUUCAUUUAUCUUGAAUCCGUUCGCCAACAUGAUUUGGUCAAACUUUGCAUGCCAUUGCUUAGGUGUUUGUUUUAGUCCAUAAAGUGACUUAACAAGUUUACAUACCUUAUUUUUUUUUUCUGAAACCAUAAAACCUUCAGGUUGUUCCAUGUAUAUUUCUUCCUCCAAAUCUCCAUUUAGGAAUGCGGUCUUUACAUCCAUUUAAUAGAUUUGAAGAUCAUAUACCGCCGCCAAGGCAAUUAACAUUCGAAUCAAGGUUAUCCUUGUUACUGGUGAGUAUGUAUCAAAGUAAUCAAGGCUUUCUCUUUCUGUUUGAAGCCUUUUACUACAAGUCUUGCCUUGUAUUUGUCAAUAGUACCAUCCGCCUUCAUUUUCCUUUGGAAGAUCCAUUUAGAACCUAACGGUUUAUUUUCGGGAAGAAGGUCAACCAAUUUCUAUGUAUGGUUGCUUAAGAUUGAAUCUAUCUCACUAUUGACUGCCUCUUUCCAAAAGAAUGAGUCUGACGAUGGCAUCGCUUCUUUAAAUGUUUGAGGCUUAUUUUCUUAGAGAAAUGUUACAAAAUCUGAUCCAAAUGAAGUUGACGUUCUUUGACGUGUACUACGUCUUGGAUUUUCUUCAUUAUGUACAUUCUCACUUGGUUCAUCUCGAGGUCGUUUAGAUCCUUCACUAGACUGUUCAUGUCUAAUUUAUACGAAUAAAUAUUUUUAAAGAAUUCAGCAUUAUCUGAUUCAAUUAUCGUAUUUUCAUUAAUAUCCGGAUGUUUGGAUUUAUGAACCAUAAAUUGACAUGCUUUACUAUAUUUAGCAUAUCCUAUGAACACACAGUCUACCAUUUUAGGUCCUAUCUUAAUCCUUUUAGGUAUAGGAACUUGAACCUUCGCUAGACACCCCCACACUUUAAAAUAUUCAAGUUGGGUUUCCUUCCUUUCCAUUUUUUUUAAGGAAUUGAUUGUGUCUUACUAUGAGGAACUCUGUUGAGUACACGAUUGGCCAUAAGGAUAGCCUCCCAUCAUAAGUUUUGUGGUAAACCAGAACUUAUAAGUAAAGCAUUUAUCAUUUCCUUCAAAGUUUGGUUUUUCCUUUCCGCAAUUCCAUUAGAUUGAGGUGAAUAUAGGACCAUAGUUUGAUGGAUUAUUCCAUUCUCUACACAUAUUUGCGCAAAGGGAGAUUCAUAUUCUCCGCCCCUAUCACUUUUUAUUAUUUUGAUCUUUUUGUCUAAAUGAUUUUCAACUUCAGUUUUAAUUGCCUAAAUGCAUCUAUUUCUUCAUCCUUACUAUUUAGCAAGUAGACAUAACAAUAUCUAGUGCAAUCGUCAAUACAAGUUAUGAAACAUUUUUUCCCACCACGUAAUGGUGUUGACUUCAUAUCACAAAUGUCAGUGUGUAUUAAGUCUAAGGGAUUAGAAUUUCUUUCAACGAACUUAUAAGGAUGCUUUGCAUACUUUGAUUCCACACACGUUUAACACUUUGAUUUAUUACACUCAAAGUUUGGCAAAACUUCUAAGUUAAUCAAUUUUCGUAACGUUUUGUAAUUAGCAUGGCCUAAACGUUCAUUCCAUAAAUCAUAACACUCAAGCAAAUAAGAAGAAUUCAAACUUUUAUUUAUUUCAACAGUCAUUACACUCAUAUUAUAAAGGCCUUCGGUCAGAUAGCCUUUUCCUACAUACAUUUCUCCUUUGCUCAUUACAAUUUCUCCAUAAAUGGUUACACAUUUGAAUUCGUUCUUCUCUAGAAGUUAAACAGAAAUUAAAUUCCUACGUAAAUACGGAACAUACAAGACAUUGUUAAGUGUCAAGACCUUUCCGAAAGUCAUAUUUAAUCAAAUUUUUCCUAUUCUUUCUACCUUAGCCGUAGCGGAGUUAGCCAUGUAGGGAGCGAAUGACGAAAACAACUCCUUGUUGGCACAUACAUGGCGGGUGGCACCAGAAUCCAUUCACCAUUCGCAAAGAUUCCCCAUCGAGUUGCAUUCUGAGAACAUAGCACACAGAUCAUCGCAUUCUUUAUUGGAUUCAAUCAUAUUUGCUUGAUCCUUCUUCUUGCCUUUCUUUGGGGCACGACAAUCUGUGGACUUGUGGCCAAUCUUGUCACGGUUGAAGCAUUUUCCCUUGAACUUUUUCUUAGGUUGAUUGCUUCCUUAUUCAGCUUUCUUCCUUUUCCUGAAAGUAUUUUAGUCAUCUUCUACAAUAUGUGCUCCAUUAAUUGUAGAAUUCCUCUUUGACCUUCUUUCGGCAGCUUUAUUAUCCUCUUCAAUACGAAGUUGGACAAUAAGAUCUUCAAUAGUCAUCUCUUUGCGUUUAUGCUUUAAGUAGUUUUUGAAGUCUUUCCACAAAGGUUGUAGUUUCUCAAAUAUCAUUGCUACUUGAAAAGCAUCAUUCACAAUUAAACCUACAAAAUAGUUUAUGUGAGUAUUAAGAACAUUUUUAGUUUGUUCAACUAAGGUAUUUUUCAAAGAUAUACCUUCUGCUAAGAGAUCAUGUAUGAUGACGUGCAACUCCUGUACUUGAGAGACAAAAGAUUUGCUAUCUAUUAUUUUGAAGUCCAAGAACUGUGCAACAAGAAAUUUUUUAAUUCCCGCAUCCUCCGUCUUAUAUUUUCGUUCAAGCGCCCCCCACAGUUCCUUUGAUGUCUUGGUUCCACUAUAAACAUUGUAGAGGUCGUCUUGGAAACUACUCAAAAUAUAAUUCCUGCAAAGAAAGUCCGAAUGUUUCCAAGCUUCUACAAUAACGAAGCGUUCUUUGUCCGAGGUUCCCUCGGGCACCUCAGGAGCGUCUUCGCUAGUGAACCAUUGCAAACAUAAAGUGGUGAGGUAAAAGAACAUCUUUUGCUGCCACCGCUUGAAGUCAAUGCUUGAAAAUAUUUUGGGCUACUCCGUUGGUGCCAUUGUUGGCGGAGCAUUUGUGUGACUUGAUGUGGCAAUAUUAGUUACCCCCAUAGACGUUGUCGCAUCUAUUAUUUCACUUUCGUUAGUCAUCUUUCCUGUCAACACAAGACAGAAAAAUUUAGUAUUUUCAGAAUACUACUUAUAAAGUUAAAUAACUUUUUAACUUUUCUUCUUGUUUCUAAUUAACACUGAAGUUUUUAUAACUUCAAAUCGUCAACUGAGUGAACUUUAACUUGUGAUGAAGAUUUUAUGUCUUCUAAUCACUAGUUAAAUUCAAGCGGAGUAAAAAGUUUAAAGCUUUAAGCUCCAAAAACAAGUUAUACAGAUACUAUAAAAGGAAUUAUUCCUUAAGAUUCUUAUUUUCGUUUAUACUUCGGGUACACAGAAUCUGUAUAUGCAGAAACAACAACUUCAACUAAAGUUCAAGUAUAUAAACAAGAACACAAUGAAGUAUAUCAAAUACCCUCAACACAAGAUCAAAAUGAUCUUUCCAAGAGGUAUAUUUUAUUUUUCAGAAAAUAGAUGAAAGAGAAAUGAAUAAGACCAAGUCGUCCAAAUUCACGGACUUUACUUAAGGAAUAAUUUCCCUCAUUGUACUCGAGGUUAUGGAAUCUUCCUCCCAGGAUAAAACGGCCUUCAAUCCUACUAUAGCGGUACCUCAAAUAGGCGGAUUCUUUGAACGCACAGAACGUUUUGAUUGAUCACACAGAAUAUUUGUAAAUAAAAGAAGAGAGUUAUUAUUUUGAAAAUUUUUAUAUCAAAACCUGUGAAGGAAAGCAUGUUUAUAUAGCCUAGCAGAUGCCUCUUCGAAAAGGUGGCAUUUGUUCACUUAAAUGGUGUGAUGUUUCUGAAAAUGCAUGUCUGCAGCACUUUUGCUGAAGCAGUAUACCAUUUCACCAAAUAGUGCACCUGUUCAAAAUAGUACAUCACUUCAUUAAAGAAUUGCAUCUGUUCAGUCGAAGCAAAAACAGUAUAUCAGUUCAGUGCAUGCAUCUGUUCAGUCGAAAAGAAAUAGUACAUCAGUUCAGUUGAAAUAAUGCAUCAGUUUUGUCGAAACAUUGUAUCUGUUACUGUUACUAAAUGCAUAUAAAUGGAGUAUUGAUCAGAUUUCAUCAAAUAAAGUUUGUCCAAAAAGAUAGAUCUCAUUGAUCGAUCAUUUGACAAAUCCAAAUCCAAAUCCGAAGCUGAAGCCGAGCGAACGAUGACGAUGACGACGCGAGGCAUCUCUUAUCAUGUGAAGUAAGUAUUCAUCAUUAUAAACACUCUAAAUUUUCCUUCUCCCACCAAUGUGUGAGAAUUAGUGAACUUUUUAAUUUUGGGAGUACACUUUCCAAAUUGGUGUCUCCUCUUCUCCACCAUUUUUUUCUCUAUUUUCCAUCCACACUUCUAUGAACCCAACAAUCCCCCACAUGAAUGGGGAAUGACUAUUUUUCAUAAAUCUUUUAUGGACAAGCAUGUGAUCAUCAAGCAAAAACUAAUUCCAUCUGGAUAAGUGGGUUUUCCUUUGAACUUUCCGUAGUGAACAUGCAUCGGAUGCACUCGGUCAAUCGGUAGAUUUGAUAUCUUUGAAUCUUCGAGCUUUAAUGUACACCUAGACAACACAUAUCACACAACCAUCCUUUUAACAUUUAUGGUUCUUACAAUUUUGUUCUUUUCAGCCAUGAACACGUCCCGAUUUUCAUGAGAGCUUAGAGAAUUGGCUUUUACUAACAUUCUCAUUGAAGCAUCAUCCACUUCGCCCUCACAUAGGUGAUUUCUAAAUGUUCAAUUCUGUAGAUUAAACUAUUUGGUAAAAUCUGUCAAAUUUAGAUAAUCAUUAAAAGACUUUUUACCUUAAGUCUUAUCCUAGUUUACUAUACAUUGUCUACAUCAUGAGAAUGGGUUGGGUAAUUGACAAUGUUGAACCUGUCAGACACAACUUUGUUUGAUCUCCUUGAACUUAGCUCUUGGGAUCUCCAGUCUGCUAGGUAGAGUUACCGCCAUGCUAACUCGUCCUAGGCCUUAAACCCAUUCCCAUGGAUGUUCUUUAGCCUAGUAGAUGCCUCUUCAAAAAGGUGGCAUUGGUUCACUUAAAUGGUGUGAUGUUUCUGAAAAUGCAUGUCUACAGCAUUUUUGCUGAAGCAGUAUACCAUUUCACCAAACAGUGCACCUGUUCGAAACAGUGCAUCACUUCAUUGAAGAAUUGCAUCUGUUCAGUCGAAACAGAAAUAGUAUAUCAGUUCAGUGCAUGUAUCAGUUCAGUCGAAAAGAAAUAGUACAUCAGUUCAGUCAAAACAGUGCAUCAGUUUUGUCGAAAUAUUGCAUCUGUUAUUGUUACUGCAUGCAUAUAAAUAAAGUAUUAUCGAAAAAGAUAGAUCUCAUCGAUCAUUUUCCAAAGCCAAAGCCGAGCGAGCGACGACGACGACAGAGCGAGGCAUCACUUAUUUCUUGCCUCACUUAUCAUGUAGAGUAAGUAUUCAUCAUUAUAAACACUCCAAAGUUCCUUUCUCCCAGCAAUGUGGGAGAAUUAGUGAACUUUCCAAUUUUGGGAGUACACUUACCAAAUUAGUGUCUCCUCUUCUCCACCAUUUUUUUCUCCAUUUUCCAUUCACACUUCUAUGAACCCAACAACUUAUACAUAAUAAAGUUAUAUAUUAUGUUAAACUAAUGGUUAUAUCAUUUAAUUUCAUCUAUGUUGAGUUAUUUAUAUUUGGAAAUGAAAAAUAGGUUUGAAAAUAAUUAUUUUAUAAGAAAAAUCAUUAAUUUUAAAUGUCCAGUCAUAACAAAGAGGGGUUCACUAGUUUAAUCUUCAAAAUAAAAAUAAAAAUCUGAAAUAAUCGAACCGAAUUUGUAGAAACCGGACCGAACCGAAUUUAUUUCGGUUUGAUUACGGUUGUCAUUUUUGUCAAUUCAAAAAUCGAAAAACCAAACCGAUAUUAAACUAUCAAACCGAACGAACCAAAUGUCCAUCCCUUCUUCCCAGGGGCGAACCUACGUAGAUUCAAGUGGAUUCAUAUGAGCCCACUUCGUCGAAAUAUCACACCGUAUGUAUCAAUGUUUGAAAAUGUACAAGAUAUAUAUUAAUUUUUUAACCCAUUUUAAAUAGCUCAGCCUAGUGGAAAGGCGGGUUCAAGAUUUUUGAUAGGUCAAACUUUCCGACACCAACAACCUUUUUGUUAAAUGUCAGAUAAUUUUUUCUUUCUAAUUUUUUUUUAUUAUAAUAUAACUUUAAAAUUUAUUUAAUCAAAAUUUGUUUAUUUAUUUCUCUGGGUAUUCAUUUUUUAUAUAUUUGAACCCACUUUCCUGAGCAGAAUCUAUGUUGCUAUUAUUGUAUAUUUGAACCCGCCACUGGUACUUGCUAUGUUCAGACUACAAAACAUAUUGGUGUUCCCUUUUAACUGAAAUGUCAUUGCUCUAGUAGUAAAAGGUCAAAGUCAUCAAUAGACACUCAAACUUAUUGUCAAAAUUCACUUAGACACCUAAACUAAGGCAUGUUCCUAUCAGGCCCCUAAACCCCCCACAUUUUGUUCAAAUUGGGUUUUUUUUGCCCUAUCAGCAAAAAACUCAAAGUGUGUUGCACACAAGCGAUGACAUGGCAAAAUGAGCUAAUUAGAAGCUGACACGUGGCAUUAUGGGUCCAAUAAUUAUUAAAAAUUAAUUAUAAUUUUAAAAAAAAAAAGUAUAUACAAAUGGCAUUGAAUAAAUUAUUAAAAAAUAAUUCUAAAAUUAUUUAAAAAUAAAACUGAUUAUUUAAAAAAAAUUAUAAAAAUUUUCUAAAAAUGAAAUAAAUUAUUAAAAAAUUAUUUUAAAAAACAAUUAAUUAAUAAGAAAAAUUAUAAUUUUUUUUUAAAAAUGGCGAGGAUAUAAAUUAUGAAAAAAUAAUUAUAAAAUUAUUUGAAAAAUAAAAAUAAAAAAUUAAUUAUUUUAAAAAAAUAUAAAUUUUUUAAAAAAUGAAAUAAAUUAUUAAAAUAUUAUUUAAAAAAUAAAAACUUAAUUAUUAAAAAAAAUAAAAUUUUUUAAAAAUUGAAAAUGAAAAAUGGCAUAGAGGAUAUAAAUUAUGAAAAAAUAAUUAUAAAAUUAUUUUUUAAAAAAACUAAUUAUAAAAUUAUUUUUUAAAAAAACUAAUUAUUAAAAAGAAAUCUUAAAUUUUUUUAAAAGAUGAAAAUAAAGAAUUAAUUUUUUUUAAAAUUCAGUUUAUUAAAAAUAAAAUAAAAUUGGGGCCUUCUAAUGCUUUUUGGGGCCUUUAGUGUUUCAAAAAAAAAAGAAAAUUUGUUAUUAAAAAAAUUUUGGGGCCCUCAAUGCCACUUGACAACUUUUUAUUCGUAAAUUAGUAAAAAAAAAUGCUCCUCACACGCCUUCCACAAUGGCACUGCACACGUAGUGUCACAUAGGCAAAAAAUGUCUAAUUGGAACAAAAUUCAGGGAUUUAAUGGUCUGAUAUGAACAUGUCUUAGUUUAGGGGUCUAAUUGAAUUUUUGCAAUAAGUUUGAGUGUCUAUCGAUGAGUUUGACCUUUUCAAAUUGACACAUGCGUAACCAAUUCUCUAAAUACCAAUUAUUUCUCCUUCAAGUGAUGUCAUCUUCCACAUGGUGGACCCCAUGAUCCUAAGAAUUAUUUAAAAAAUAAAAAAAUAAUUAUUAAAAAUAAAUUAUAAAUUUUUUAAAAAAAUAAAAAUCCCCCACCUAUCCCAGCCCCCAACGUAUUGUUUUAUUAAAAAAAAAAAUUGGAACCCCCUAAUGCUUUUUGUUUUAUUAAAAAGUGUCUUUAGUGUUUAAAAAAAAAUUGUUAUUAAAAAAAUUUUGGGGCCCUCAAUGCCACUUGGCAUCUUUUUAUUUGUAAAUUAGUAAAAAAAAUUGCUCCUCACACGCCUCCCACGAUGGCACUGCACGCGUAGUGCCACAUAGGCAAAAAAGGCCCAAUUGAAACAAAAUGUGGGGGGUUUAGGGGUCUGAUAGAAACAGGCGUUAGUUUAGGUGUCUAAGUGAAUUUUGACAACAAGUUUGAGUGUCUAUCGAUGUCUUUGGCCAGUAGUAAAAUAAUAUGAUGAUCCUCUUUCAUUUCUUGAUAGAAAAAUGAGGAAUCAUGUAAUAACAUCAUAUCGUUCAACAUUAUUCUUUGCACUAAUUUUGAGUAUUAUGUUAAGGUUUUUAAACUGAUUUUCUUAUCAAAAUUAAGUUUUACUUUUUUCUUGUAAGGAAAAUAAAAGUAAUCAUAAAUAUUUUUACUUUUCAUAAAAGAAAAUAUAAAACUUUUUCAUAUUUGGCAAACCUCUUUCUUAGAGGAAGGUUUUGGACAUCUAUAAGAAUUAAGAUCCCCUCUUCAUACCAUAACAUUGUAACAUUCUCAAUGUAGUCAUUGAAGAGUCUUUGUUUAUGAGUGAUUUCUCUCAAUAGGUUUAAUGUUUUUCGAUAUUAGGUUUUAUAAUAUGCAGGCCGAUUGGCCAAAACAUAUAAUAAUUUUAUGUUUUUUAAUAUUGUUUUCUUUGUCGCCUGAUUUAUCAUCUCAUAGUUUGCAACUAAUAGCUUCCGCAUGACAUCCUCUCGUUUUUGAACCCAACAAAUGGUAUCAGAGUCGAUGGUUCAAAGAUCCGAUGGUUCGAUUGAGGACUUUUUAAGAUCAAAGUUGCAAUCAAUUUGGCGAUGAUGAAGCUUUUGUCAAAAAAAAAAAAAAAGGUUCAAAAACUACAUGUGGAGAAAAAGUUUCAAACAAAAUUUCAACAAUCUUGGUGCUAAUCCAUCUUUAAAACCAAAAUCAAUUUCAACUCAUAUUUAUGACUUCAAUUUUCAAUCUAUACUUGCUUUAACGCUUGGGCUCCUUUCAACUCGUGCAUUUAUUUUUAAUGCAUGAGCUCCACUCUUAACCUGUGCUCACUUUCAAUGCACAAAGUUCUACUUUCAAUCUUAUCAACCGUGCUUUUAUUUUUAAUGCAUAGGACUCUAAUUUUAACCCAUAUCAAUUUUUAAUCAUGGUUGACAGCAGUGAUAUAUGAAGAAUAUAUGAAAAACGAAGAUCAUGCACAAGAAAAAGGAGGAUCAAGAAUAUUUUGCAGAAAAUCAAGCAAAAAAGGGAGAUUUGUUAGGGUUUUUACUCUAAUUUUCUUACCAAAAUUAAGUUUUACUUUUUCUUAUAAAAAAAUAAAAGUAAUCAUAAAUACUUUUAUUUUUGUUAAAAGAAAAAUAUAAAACUUUUCUAUAUUUGGCAAACCUCUUUCUUGGAGGAAAGGUUCUGGACAUUAGGAUACUCUUCUCAUGCCAUAAUACGGUAGCAUCCACAAUGUAGUCAUUGAAGAGUUUUGUUUAGGGAAAUUUAAUGUUUUUUCGAUAUUAGAUUUUAUAAUAUGCAGGCCGAUUGGCCAUAACAUAUAAUAAUUUUAUACUUUUUAGUGUUAUUUUCUUUGUCACCUGAUUUAUCGUCCCAUAAUUUGCAACUAAUAGCUUCCGCAUGACGCUCUCUCGAUUACGAUCCCAACAUAUUGUUUCUUGAGAAUUAAUUGAAUUCCAUAAGUUCCUCCGGUCCGUAAAUUUAAGUUUUAAGAUUUUAACAGCUUUAUAGUUUUUCAGUUACCAUAUCCCAAAAUGUAGCUCCGGUCGUUUCUGCUAUGCUCUUUUUUUUUUUUUUUUCCUUUGGUAUGAAAGUGGCAAUAAAUGAUUCAUGUCUUUUGAAAGUGAAACUAAGAACUAGACCGUCAUUGGAAAAUAACAAACAUUUAUUCUAUUGUCAACUCACUCACAACAACUUUGCAAGGCCAUCAAACAAUCAAAUUUUAACAAUUAUAUUAUGAUAUUCAUUUUCCGGGAACAAAGUUUGUGGCGUAGGCCCAGGCAUUGUUGUUAACCGGAUCUGCUAGAUGGUCAGCAAGGUUCUCCAAUGGACCCUUUCCUGUAACAAUGGCCUGAACAAAGAAUCCAAACAUAGAGAACAUAGCAAGUCUACCGUUCUUGAUCUCCUUUACCUUGAGCUCAGCAAAUGCCUCUGGAUCAUCAGCAAGACCCAAUGGGUCAAAGCUGCCACCGGGAUAGAGUGGGUCGACUACCUCACCAAGAGGCCCACCAGCAAUACGGUAUCCCUCAACGGCUCCCAUCAAGACAACUUGGCAAGCCCAGAUGGCCAAGAUGCUCUGUGCAUGGACCAAACUUGGGUUGCCCAAGUAGUCAAGUCCACCCUCGCUGAAUAUCUGGGAUCCAGCCUUGAACCACACAGCCUCACCAAACUUGACACCAUUACGGGCCAAGAGCUCGGGGAAAACACAUCCAAGAGCACCAAGCAUAGCCCAUCUGCAGUGGAUCACCUCGAGUUCACGGUUCUUGGCAAAGGUUUCUGGGUCUGCUGAAAGUCCAGCGGUGUCCCACCCGUAGUCACCGGGAAAUUCACCGGUCAAGUAGCUUGGAGACUCACCUGAGAAUGGACCCAAGUACUUGACACGGUCUGGCCCAUACCAUGGGCUGCCAGAUGAGGCUGGCUUGGAGACAGCCUUUCUCAUAGAGAUCCUUCCAUUUCCAGUGAUUUCUGAGGCAGAGGGUGAGAGUUUCACUGCCUGUCCAGCAAAAGAAGGUGAAGAAAGUGCCAUUGUAGAAGCUGCCAUGGCUUAUCAAGAGAAAAGUAAGUGUUUGAUGGUAUGAAAUAUUGUUGAAGUUGGCUGUGAUGAGGUGAAGUUAAUUACAAGGGGCUUCACCAUAUAUAGGAGGAGUAAGAGCGGUAGAGGCCUUUAUCUAACGAUAUCUACAUCUUUUUCUUUUGGUGUUAACGAUAUCUGUAUCUGUGAUCUCAUUGGGUAAUAAGAUCACAUGUGUAGAAAUUAAUGCACACUUGGCAAUCUCCAGACUCCAAUCCAUCAAUUUUCCAAGAUGUUUACUAAAAGGACCCAUCCAAUAUUGUCCGCCUUAGUGUGGCUACGAGGUUAUUGACUCUAUUCUGUGAUUCGUUGAGCUUACACUAAGAUAUCUCUUAUCGUUAUCUUUUGGGAAUUUCUCCAGAUUUUAUCCACCAGCUGGGAAUAAGUUACCACCACUAUAGCUCAUUCAAUGUAGAAGUAGAAGUUAGAACUAUGGUUUAGCGUUGCACUAAAUAAAUAGUAGAAAAGCUGAAUUUUUCAGAUUAUCAGUAACUAAUGUCUAUCAAAAGAUUAAUUUGAAGUAAUUGCUUAACAAGCAAAAGUGGAUCAGAAUUUGAACUUUCAUGGGUUCUGUAGUCUAGGACGAGUUCUACUAAAUAGAUUCCAAAUUUAACUUUUCUACAUACUCGCUCCGUCCCAUUUUACCCGUCCCAAAUUGGCUAAGUUGAUGUUUCAUUUUAGUUGUCCCAUUUUACUUAUCAAGAUAAGACAAACUUUUCUUUCCAUGUUUUACCCUUUGCAUUAAUUAUCUUUUCUUUAAAUUAAAAUGUAAACAUCAUUUAAUAGGGGUACUUGGGUAAACUAGCCAUGUUAUAUAUUAUUUUUCUUAAUUGUUGUGCCAUCCUAAUUUGGGACAAGUAAAAUGGGACGGAGAGAGUAUUUAAUAAGCUUAUCAAAACAUAUGCAUGGUUUGGGCCAAAGUUAGUUAGUUCUGUCAAACUGGUUUGCUGAAGGCUAUCUGCGCAUGUUAAUAAGUGAUAUGAUUGUGUUAUGUGCAAGUAUUUUUACAAUGUCAAUGCAUAACCUCUCUAUAGUGUCCUGUAUAGCUUGUAUCUUCUGCUUACAAUGUCCUUUUGGCUCUGGUCAUUGUUAUGUGAACGUGUUCUUCUCUAAAGAGAAUACCACAUGCACGUAAGGAUGGAGGACUAUACAAGAAACUCAUGAAUUUGUUCAAAUCUAAGAUGCUGCUUAAAUUAAGGACACAUAAGUAUAAUGGCCUGGAAACUCAUAUAUUACUUGCUACGUUCAAAAUACAAAACAUAUACAUUGGUUUUCCCCUUAUCAUUAAAAUGUCAAUGGUGUACGCAGUAGUGAAAUAAUAUUAUGUCCUCUUAAUUCAUCUCACUUCUCGACAGGAAAAUAAGGAAUCAUGUAAAUAACAUCAUGUUGUACAUUGUUAAUCGUGGCACUAAGAGUAUUGCUUCUUGAGAAUUAAUUGAAUUCCAUAAGUUCCUCUGGUCUGUAUAUUCAAAUUAUAAGCUUUUUGUCAAAAAACAAAGGGAGCGGUAGAGUUAAGCUACAAGGAGAAAAAUAUAAGGAAAUUGCAGCUGUAAAUUGCUACAAAAAAGACUGCAGUAAAGAACAAGAAGCUGAAACUUUUUGAGUGUUUUCUAUUUUUUGGAUAGUUAUAAAUGUCUAAUGUCAUCCCUUAUUUAUACUUAUGUAGGGAUGAUUCUAGAUACUACAAAUCUAGAGUGUUCGUAUACAAAUAUCUCCCUCAAAUAUCUAGCACCCUCUAGAUCUUUCCUAAAUAUAAAUAUCAAAUAUACUACACUAUUCCUUUCUAGAUUCUUCUAACUAGAAUUACCUAAAUAUCUAGAUAUUUCUUUAGCAUGAUCAUCCUAGAAAUUUUACUAGACUAUUCUACAGACUGAACUAGAAAUCUAUGAUUCCAAAAAAUCUACUUUAAUAUUUUCACACUCCCUCUUAAAGUGAUUUUUUUGGAAGCUAUCCUAAACUUGUUGCGGAAGAACUCAAGUGAAGCUUUGAACCGUACUUUAGUGAAAAUCUUGAUAGUUUUUGCAUGACUCCUCUUUCUUCUUCAAAUGAUGAAGAUUUCUCGUUAAUGAUUGGCCCUUGUUGAGUUUUAUCAUAUUGAGUUCUCGAGCUCCCCCUUUCUCUGAACUCCUCCGUAACUUCAUUAUCUGGUGACCCAAAUAUGAUGGAAAAGUUUGAAACUCUAGGAUUGAAGAUUUUAGAACUUACUCUUUCUGAAGCAACUCCAUAACACAAGAAUAAUUUUUUGGUAUCAACCUCCUUAUUUGAUUUGAUGACGAUCUUUUGUUCGGGCCUAUCAACUAGCUCCCAAGUAUUAUUUUUUUAUCAUGGCAAGCUCCUCAUCCAUUGCGGAAAUCCAAGUUUCAUGACUUCUGCUUCUUCAAAAGAAGAUGGUUCCACAAGAGCAAAAUUGCAUUGCUCAUAAACUUCAGGUAGUGACCUGGUCUUCAAAAUAGGAGAAUCUGAAGUUAAUUCAACAUCUGAAUUGUCUUCUUUUUCAAUAAGAGGAUUGGAAGAAAUAUUACACGUCUGUGGAUUUUGAGCUGCAACUGAAGUACACUCAUCUUGGUUCUUUACAACAAUAUCUCGAUCCUAAUCAUAGUGGCUAGACUCAUCCACCGCAAGAUCUCUACUGAUAAGCACCUUUUACGCACGAACAUUAUACACUUUCUACCCUUUUGCAGCUGUGUUAUAGCCCAACAAAAUACAAAGUCCUGCCUUGUUAUCCAAUUUACCUCUUUUAGCAUCAGGAACAUAUGCAUAACAGACUGAACCAAAAACUUUUAAGUGUCUCACAGAUGACUUUAUACCUUUCCAUGCUUUAAAUGGUGUCAUGUCUUGGAGUGCUCUAGUUGGUAAUAUGUUUAGUAAAUAGACUGCAGUACUGACUGCCUCAGCCCAAAAACAUUUGGGUAUCUUCUUUUCUGCUAGCAUACAUCUCACCAUCUCCAUCACGGUUCUGUUCUUUCUCUCAGAAAUACUGUUUUGUUCUGGAGUGUAGCUCACAGUAAAUUGUUGUUGAAUGCCCACAUCUUUACAAUACUUGUUGAACUAAUGCGGAGUAUAUUCAGUUUCAUUAUCUGACCUGAUAUACUUCAAUCGGCAACCACUCUUCCUUUCUACCAUAGCCUUGAAUUCUUUGAAAACAGAAAACACCUGAACUUUGUUACUUAAAAAUAGACCUAUGUCAUUCGAGUUAGAUCAUUUAUAAAGAGAAUAAAAUAUUUAUUCCCACUCAAAGAAGUUGUCCUCAUUGGUCUACAUAUAUUUGUAUGAACCAACUCUAGUUUUUCCUUCGUCCUCCAAAGACUUCUUUUAGGAAAGAAUUAUUUAUGCAAUUUACCAAAUUGACAUGACUCACAAACAUCUCGGCACAUGUCAAUUUUGGGUACAUCAAGCACCAUACCCUUGGAUUGCAUAUACACCAAUGAACUAAGAUUGUAAUGACCGAAUCUUUUGUGCCAAAGCCAAAUAUCAAUUAUUUCAACAUUGAAAGAGCAACUUUCAACAGAAUAGCAUGAAAUUGGAAAGGAAUUACCAAUCAUGCUAAUUUUAGCUACUUCACAACCUUUAGGAUCAUAAAUGACACAUUUUUUAUCCUUAAAAAUAAGUGAAUAAUUAUUGUGAAGUAACUGAGCAACACUCAACAAGUUUUGAGUCAAGCUUGGCACAUAAAAAACAUCGUUUAUGAUUUUCAUACCUUCGUCCGUAGGAAAUUUCACUGAUCCUCUUCCUUGAGCUUGCACCAGUGCACCAUCUCCUAGCUUCACUUUGAUCCUAUCAGACCUGUCCAGGCUAACAAAUAGAUUUUCAACAAUCGUCAUGUGCCUUGUGCACGCACUAUCGACAUGCCAAUUAUAUCGAUCGACAUGUGAUAUGUGUGAAGCCAUGAAUACCUCUUCCUCUAUUUUUUGAACUUGGUGAUCUUCCGCAAAAUUUACUCAUUGAAAAGACUGACCAAUUUGAGUUUGCUUUUGCCUGCAAUGCUUCUCAAUGUGCCUAUACUUCUUGCAGUAUCUGCAUUGAAUAGGAGACCUCUUGGACUUCUGCCAACAAUUUUUCUAUAAGUGGUUUGUCUUCUUACAAAUACCACAAGGUGGAAAUUUUUCUCUCCUCAACGAUUCACCUUGGUAUCCACCAGAUUUCACCUCUCCAGAGUGGUCUAAAAAGACUUUUUUGCCUUCUUUUUGUUGCUUGAAAGGCAUAUUCGACUGUUCCUUCGAUUCUCAUAGUUACCCAUUGCUCUUGGAUUUGCAAUUUAGAGAUCAACUCAGCUAUUGAAAGAAUAGUCAAGUCACAGGACUCUUUAAUAGCUGAGAAUUUGUAUUUAAACUUGUCUGGAAAGCUGACCAUAAUCCCCUUUAUAACCUUCUAAUCUAAAAAGUUUUCACCAAGUAUCCUUAUGUGGUUCACAAUAUCCAUUAGCUUAGAAGAGUAUUCUUUUACACUAUCCGGAUCCUUCAUCUUCAAGAGCUCAAACUCCCUCUUCAAAGCUAAAACCUUAACAGACUUAACUCUGUUGCUGCCUUCAAACUCCUUCUUUAGCUUAUCUCAGGCUUCUUUAGCUGUCUCACAAGCCAUAAUCCUUGUAAAUAUCACUUCCGUAAGGGUUGAAUGUAUGCAAGUGAGUGCUCUUGGAGAUCUAGUCACCAAUUCAUCAUACUUUUUGAUAUCAUUUAGAGUUGAGUUGUCUCUCAAUGGCUGGACAGCAGGUUCUCCUCUCUAAACAAUAUCCCACAAGUUGAGAGUCUUCAAAUAAGCCUUCAUUUUAAUGGUCCAAAUAUGAUAAUUCUCCCCCGAAAAAAUCGAAGGACCCAUUGUUGGUUGAUUUUCUGGUGCCAUGUUUUUUCAGUAAAUAGAUUCAAGAAAGGAGCUAAAAAUAAGAUGAGUCAAUCAACAAAAAACAUAUUCAGAUCCCGUAAGAAAUGGGCUCUGAUACCAUGUCAAAAAAUAAAGGAAACGGGGAGAGUAAAGCUACAAGGAGAAAAAUAUAAGGAAAUUGCAACUGCAAAUUGCUACAAAAAAGACUGCAGUGAAGAAGGAGAAGCUGAAACUUUUUUAGUGUUUUCUAUUUUCUAGAUAGUUAUAAAUGUCGAAUGUAAACCCUUAUUUAUUCUUAUGUAGGGACGAUUCUAGAUACUACUCCCUCCAUCCCAUUUUACCCGUCCCAAAUUGGGAUGGCACAGCUAUUAAGAAAACAAUGAUUGGUAAUGUUACUUUACCAUUUUUUCUCUCUUAAUUGUGUCUUGUUGUUAGUUCCAAUAUUGAUGGAUGACCAAUACAAAAGCACCAUUUAUAUUCUUAAUGGUGUACUCCUAAUGGUACUCUUCUUUGCAACGUUUUUCAAAAAUGUUAAUAACAAGGAGUAAGCAAUUACACUGAGGAUAAAAUGAAAAAAAAAGUUGUCUUAUCUUGAUAAGUAAAAAAGGACAACUAAAAUGGGACAUCAAAUUAGAAAAUUUGGGACGGGUAAAAUGGGACAGGGAGUACAAAUCUAGAGUGUUCUUAUACAAAUAUCUUCCUCAAAUAUCUAGCCCCCUCUAGAUUUUUCCUAAAUAUAAAUAUCAAAUAGACUACACUCUUCCUUUCUAGAUUCUUCUAACUAGAAUUACCUAAAUAUCUAGAUAUUUCUUCAACAUGAUUAUCCUACAAAUUUCACUAGACUAUUCUAGAGACUUAACUAGAAAUCUAUGAUUCCAAAAAAUCUACUUUAAUACCAUCACACUUUUACCACAUCCAAAAUGUAUCUUGGGUUUUUUUUUUUUUUGGCUUUGUCAUCGAUUUUUCUCCCCUUGAUAUGAAACUGGCAGUAUUUAUUCAUGCCAUUGGAAAAUGAAAUUCAGGACUACACAAUAACUGGAAUAUAAGAAAAAUCCAUUCUAUUGUCAAGUAAACUCACAACUACAACUUUACAAGGGCAUCAAACAAUGAAAUUUUAAGAUUGUUUUACGAUAUUCAUUUUCCGGGGACAAAGUUUGUGGCGUAGGCCCAUGCGUUGUUGUUAACUGGAUCUGCAAGGUGGUCAGCGAGGUUCUCCAAUGGACCCUUUCCGGUAACAAUGGCCUGAACAAAGAAUCCAAACAUAGAGAACAUAGCAAGUCUACCGUUCUUGAUCUCCUUUACCUUGAGCUCAGCAAAUGCCUCUGGAUCAUCAGCAAGACCUAAUGGGUCAAAGCUGCCACCAGGGUACAAUGGGUCGACUACCUCACCAAGAGGCCCACCAGCAAUACGGUAACCUUCAACGGCUCCCAUCAAGACAACUUGGCAAGCCCAGAUGGCCAAGAUGCUCUGUGCAUGAACUAAGCUUGGGUUGCCCAAGUAGUCAAGUCCACCCUCGCUGAAGAUUUGGGAUCCAGCCUUGAACCACACAGCCUCACCAAACUGGACACCGUUACGGGCCAAGAGCUCGGGGAAAACACAUCCAAGAGCACCAAGCAUAGCCCAUCUGCAGUGGAUCACCUCGAGUUCUCGGUUCUUGGCAAAGGUUUCUGGAUCUGCUGAAAGUCCAGCGGUGUCCCACCCGUAGUCACCAGGGAAUUCGCCGGUCAAGUAGCUUGGGGGCUCACCCGAGAAUGGGCCCAAGUACUUAACACGGUCUGGGCCAUACCAUGGGCUUCCAGAUAGGGCAGGCUUGGAGACAGCCUUUCUCAUAGAGAUCCUUCCAUUUCCACUGAUUUCUGAGUUAGAGGGUGAAAGUUUCACUGCCUGUCCGGCAAAAGAAGGGGAAGAAAGAGCCAUUGUAGAAGCUGCCAUGGUUUAUCUCAAGAGAAAGGAGAGUAUUUGCUGGUUUGAAAUAUUGUUGAAGUUGGCUGUGAUGAGAUGAAGUUACAAGGGGCCUCACUUUACCAUAUUAUAGCAAGUAAGAGGGGAAGAGUCCUUAUCUAGUGAUAUCUAUUUCUAUGAUCUCAUUGGGUAUCAAGAUCCUUUGUCUAGCAAUUAAUGCACACUUGGGUAUCUCCAAUCCAUCAAUUAUCCAAGAUGUUUGCUAAGGGGACCCAUCCAACAUAGUCCUCUCACAUGUGGCUACAAGGCUUGAACAAUAUUCUGUGAUUUGCUGAACUUACAAUGCUGAUAUCUCUUAUCAUAAUCCGUUGAGAAUUGCUCCAGAUUUUAUUUAUCAGCACUACAGCUCAUUCGAGGUAGAACUAUGGUUUACCGUUUCACUAAUUAUAUUCAGGAAAGUUCAUUACUUGAUAUAUAAAUUGUGUAAAAAUUAAUAAUACAUGUUUGGAACUUUAUUAUAUAAGACCUUAAUAUAUAGUAAUAUAAGAGUCAGUAGCAUAGUAAAUUAUUUAACCUGCAAUUCAUAUAAAAGUGAAGAUACUGUUUUGGGGGUUUUACAAAUUUAAUAUUUACAGGUGCAUGCAAAGCAAGAAUAUGAUCUUCCCUUUCAAAACAUUUAACAUAGGUUCAUGCUUGGAUCUUUAUUAAUCUGAUCAUGAAGAGGUAUAUUAAGUUCUAUAUAUGUUGCACUGUUAAUUUCAUGUUUAGAUAUUUAAUGACGGGUUAGAUUCAUUUUAACUACUGCACAGUGCUUAGACUAAUUGGAAAGAACUUGUUCAUGAGCGGGGGUUGGCAAACGGGCGGGUUGACUCAGAUAUAAACAAAUCAAAAAUGAGCCAACAAAAAUGGAUAAAAUAUCCGACCCACCUGUAUUUGAUAUGGAUGAAAAAUGAGAAACCAACGGGAUAUUAUUUCAUAUUAUGUAAAAGAAAUAAGUACUUCCAAUAUGAGAAAGGCAGAGUAUGUACAUGGAUUAAUUAAUUAAUUGGGAUUCACCAGCAGCACAAUAUGACCAAUUAAUUGUGUUAAGGGCAGGAACAUUUGCCAAUAAUGGAUCAGGUUAUUUACGGGUUUGGAUAAAAGGAACUUUAACUUGACACCAAAUUAUAACUAUGUGCUUUUAACUUUGUUAGUACACAAGUAGACCCUUUAACUAUAUAAAAAUCAAAUAAAAAAAUAGUCUAAUUCAGCAACUUACAUGCGUAAAAUUCAAUCACUCCUACGUGGAUUAAUAAUCCACUCAGAUGCUGCCACCUAAUAAAAAAGACGCAUUAUAACUAUGAUCAUUAACUUUGCGCACAAAUAGACGCUUUAAUUAUACAAAAGCUGAAAAAAAAAACACUUCAAUUUUAACUCUGACGCUCGUGAUUUUGAGUGUAUACAUGCAUUUUGCCAGGUUACGAUUGGAGUGUUUGUUUGUUCAACUUUUGUAUUGUUAAAGGCCUACUUGUACAUUGAUAAAGUUAAAGAUCAUAGUUAUAAUUUGAUAUCAAGUUACAUGUUUAUGUACUGAGUUUAAGUUCUGUGCACCGUCAGUGCACAAAAUAUUUUAUACUAUCAGUUAACUUGACCUGCUAUUGCAGGUUACCCAAUUAUUUAUAUAAAAAUUUAAAAAUAAAAAAUUGUUAUUGCAGGUUACCCAAUUAUUUAUAUAAAAAUUUAAAAAUAAAAAAUUAGAUAACCUGCAAUAGCAAGUCAAGUUUACCUAAUAGGAUAGAAUAUUUUGUACACUGAUGGUGCACAAAACUUAAAAAUUUAGGUAUUAUGCCUAUUUACAACUUAUGGAGUAAAUAUAAGUUGUAAAUAUUCUCUUUUUUCACACAGUAAUUUUUAACUUGUAAUAGCUGAUAAGUCCCCGUUGUUACAAGAAACUUUAAGAUUUUUUCCAAAGAUGCAUCAAAUUAAGGACAUAAUUAUAAUGGUCUGGAAACCUAUAUUAUAGCAUGUUGAUUACUACUUGCUAUACCUUCAGACUACAAAACAUAUUGGUUUUCACUUAACAUUGAAAUGCCAAUGGUCUAUAUGGUAGUGAAAUAAUAUUAUGUCCUCUUAAUUGCUCUUUCACUUCCCGAUAGGAAUCACGUAACAACAUCUAUGCUCAACAUUUCUCUGUGCACUAUUCUCUGUGCACUAAUUUAAUGUGUUCCUUCCUGGGAAUUAAUUGAAUUCCAUAACUUCCUGUGGUCAGUAAACUUAAGUUUGAAGCUUAUAACAGCUUUAUAGUUAUUCUAGUUACCACGUCUCAUAUUAAUCUACAGUUUUUCUUUACUAUGUUCUCUUUCUUUAAUUCCCCUUUAGUAUGAAAGUGGCAAAAAAUUUUAUUCAUGACUUUGGAGAAUGUAACUCAGAACUACACAAUUAUUGGAAUAUGAGACAAAAAUCCAUUCUAUUGUCAAGUAACUGCUCAUAACAACUUUACAAGACCAUCAAACAAUGAAAUUUUAAGAUUGUUUUACGAUAUUCAUUUUCCGGGAACAAAGUUUGUGGCGUAGGCCCAGGCAUUGUUGUUAACCGGAUCUGCUAGGUGGUCAGCAAGGUUCUCCAAUGGACCCUUUCCUGUAACAAUGGCCUGAACAAAGAAUCCAAACAUAGAGAACAUAGCAAGUCUACCGUUCUUGAUCUCCUUUACCUUGAGCUCAGCAAAUGCCUCUGGAUCAUCAGCAAGACCCAAUGGGUCAAAGCUGCCACCAGGGUAUAGUGGGUCGACUACCUCACCAAGAGGCCCACCAGCAAUACGGUAUCCCUCAACGGCUCCCAUCAAGACAACUUGGCAAGCCCAGAUGGCCAAGAUGCUCUGUGCAUGGACCAAACUUGGGUUGCCCAAGUAGUCAAGUCCACCCUCGCUGAAUAUCUGGGAUCCAGCCUUGAACCACACAGCCUCACCAAACUUGACACCAUUACGGGCCAAGAGCUCGGGGAAAACACAUCCAAGAGCACCAAGCAUAGCCCAUCUGCAGUGGAUCACCUCGAGUUCACGGUUCUUGGCAAAGGUUUCUGGGUCUGCUGAAAGUCCAGCGGUGUCCCAACCAUAGUCACCAGGGAAUUCACCGGUCAAGUAGCUUGGGGGCUCACCAGAGAGUGGGCCCAAGUACUUAACACGGUCUGGGCCAUACCAUGGGCUGCCAGAUGAGGCAGGCUUGGCAACAGCCUUUCUCAUAGAGAUCCUUCCAUUUCCAGUGAUUUCUGAGGCAGAUGGUGAGAGCUUCACUGCCUGUCCGGCAAAAGAAGGGGAAGAAAGAGCCAUUGUAGAAGCUGCCAUGGCUUAUCUCAAGAGAAAGGUAAGUGUUUGAUGGUAUGAAAUAUUGUUGAAGUUGGCUGUGAUGAGAUGAAGUUACAAGGGGCCUCACUUCACCAUAUUAUAGUAAGUAAGAGGGGAAGAGUCCUUAUCUAGUGAUAUCUAUUUCUAUGAUCUCAUUGGGUAUCAAGAUCCUAUGUGUAGCAAUUAAUGCAUACUUGGGUAUUUCCAAUCCAUCAAUUUUCCAAGAUGUUUGCUAAAGGGACCCAUCCAACAUAGUCCUCUCACAUGUGGCUACAAGGAUUGAACAAUAUUCUGUGAUUUGCUGAACUUACAAUGCUGAUAUCUCUUAUCAUUAUCCGUUGGGAAUUUCUCCAGAUUUCAUUUAUCAGCACUACAGCUCAUUCGAUGUAGAACUAUGGUUUACCGUUUCACUAAAUAUAUUCAGGAAAGUUCAUUACUUGAUAUAUAAAUUGUGCGGAAAUAAAUAAUACAUGCUUAUGUUUGGAAAGAAAUGCGUUUGGAACUUAAUUAUAUAAGACCUGAAUAUAUAUAAGCAAGAGUCAGUAGCAUAGUAAUUAUUUACCUGCAAUUCAUAUAAAAGUGAAGAUACUGUUUUUUGGGGUUUUACAAAUUUAAGAUUGACAAGUGCAGGCAAUGAAAGAAUAUGAUCUUCCUUUUCAAAAUAUUUAACAUAGGUUCAUGCAUGUAUAUUUAUUAAUCUGAUCGUGAAGAGGUAUAUAAAGUUCUAAAUAUGUUGCACUGUUAAUUUCAUGUUUAGAUAUUUAACGACGGGUUAGAUUCAUUUUAACUACUGCACAAUGCUUAGACUAAUUGGAAACGCGCAGAUUGAGUCGGAUAUGGACAGAUCAAAAAUGAGCUAGUGAAAAUGGAUAAAAUAUCUAAUUCACCCGUAUUGAUAUGGAUGAAACAUGAGAAACCAACGGAUAAUAUGGAUAUUAGUUCAUAUUAUGUAAAAGAAUAAGUACCUCCAAUAUGAGAAAGGCAGAGUAUGUACAUGGAUUAACUAAUUAAUUGGGAUUCAUCAGCAUCACAAUAUGACCAAUUAACUUUACGAGAAUUGUGUUAAGGGCAAGAGCAUUUGCCAAUGAUGGAUCAAGUUAUUUACAUCUUAUGCCUUAUGGUGUAAAUAUAAGUUGUAUAUAUUUUCUUUUUGGCAUGAUACACAAAUAUGAUCCUAAACUUAUAUCAAAUUAUAACUUUGACCUUAAACUUUGAUAGUGCACAAAUAGGACCUUUAACUAUUCAAAAUUUGAACAAAUAUGACCUCCGAUUUUGCAACCUCCAUGCGCGAGUUUCACUCGCGCCUAUGUGGAAAGCUCAUCAAUCACACGGUGCCACGUCGUUAAAAGGGCUGACUUGGAGGGAGGUCAUAUUUGUGCAAUUUUGAAUAGUUAAAGAUCAUAUUUGUGCACUGUCAAAGUUUUGCUUUUUGUGUUAAAACAACGUUGUUUUAUUAUUAUUAUUAUUAUUAUUAUUAUUAUUAUUAUUAUUAUUAUUAUGAAUAUUACUAUUUAUUUUUUUAAUUUUAUUUAUUUAUUUCUAUAGCAGCUAGGGGUGGGCGUUCGGUAUUCGAUAUUCGGUUCGGUAUUUUCAAAUUUCGGAUUCGAUAAUUUGGUAAUUGGUAUUUGAACGUAGAUACCAUAUACCAUACUAAUAAAUAUCGAUUCGGUAAUCGAUAAAUUAAAUUUCGGUUCAGUACGGUAUUUGGUAAUACCAUAUUAAAAUUGAAGAUGUGCAAAUAUACAUUUAAACUUCAAAGAGUAUAUUUAAAAGAAACCCUAUUUAGCAUUAUUUUGUUGCUUUUUACGAAUAUAUUAUCAAGGUCUAAGAGAUUCUUUGAGAUGACUAAUACUAUUGUUUAUUGGGUUGGUUAGACAUAUAGUAUAUAUAUAUAUAUAUAUAUAUAUAUAUAUAAUUCGGUAUUCGGUAUUUACCGAAUACAAAACGGUAUUAAUAUCUUGUACCAAAUUCAAUCCCGAAAUAUUAAAAUUUUAUUCUCAAAUACCAUACCAAAUACAAAAUUUUUUGAUUCGGUUCGGUAAUUCGAUUUUCGGUAUUUUAUGCCUAGCCCUAAUAGUAACAACACCUAACUUUUUUUAAUUAAAAAAAAAAAACCACUAGCAGGGAUCGACCCCACGCAGUAGGUUGAAGGAAGCACCCAAGAAGAGCAAAUAACACCACUGGAUUAUCUAAGUGCAAUGUUUCAUGUGGUUCAACAUUAAUAUACGUACAUAAAUAUAGAUUAUCUACCUUAUAUAUACAACAUAAUUUUUUUACCGAGGGGGUUCGGGUGAAUCCCAUGGCGACCACGUAGGUCCGCCCCUGCGUUAAUUUAAUAACGUUAAUUUAAUAACAUUUUAAUAACGUUAAUUUAAUAUACUACUAUUAUUAUCUUUAAUAACGUUAAUUUAAUAACAUUUUAUUAAAACUAUAAUUUUUUUAUUAUUAGUAUAGUUUCAUCUUUAAUUUAAUAUUUAAAUAAAUUAUAUUUCGAUAUAUUAUAUAACAUAAAUUCUCCCUCUGCUUUAUAAUAUGUAUAUAUACCCGCAAUUUUUUCGUAUGAGGCUAACCCACUUAAUUAAUAAAUCUUCAAUAUUGCACUUUUUCCGCAAUGACAAAAGAAAUUGAAUGUCAUUUUCAUCUUUGAGCUGAAAAUAAUGAAAAAUAAUAGUGAAAAGUCAUUUAAAGAUUAUAUUUGUGCAGUUUUGAAUAGUUAAAAGCCACAUUUAUGCACUCUCAAAAUUUAAGGUCAAAGUUAUAAUUUGGUGUCAAGUUUAGAAUCACAUUUAUGUAUUAUGUCCUUAGAUUUUAAACAGGACGCGCCCAAUUUUGCAUGUUGAACACGCAUUUUACCACAUAGGACCGAAGGUUAUAUUUAUGUAAUUUUAAAUAGUUAAAAAUUAUAUUUUUGCACUAUCAAAAUUUAAGGUUAAAAUUAUAAUUUGAUGUUAAAUUUAAGGCUUUAUGUAUUAUGCCUUUCUUUUUUCACACCAUCAUUAAAUUUUAAGUUGUAAUAGUAGAUAAGUCACCAUUGUUACACGAAACUUUUAGAUUUUUUCCAAAGAUGUUAAUCAAACCAAGGACAUAAUUAUAAUGGCCUGGAAACUUAUAUUAUAGCAUUUUAAUUACUACUUGCUAUACCUUCAGACUACAAAACAUAUUAGUUUUCACUUAUCAUUGAAAUGUCAAUGGUCUAUAUGGUAGUGAAACAACAUUAUGUUCUCUCAAUUGCUCUUUCACUUCUCUACUGGAAACAUAUAAUAACAUCAUAUUGCUCAACAUUUCUCUUUGCACUAAUUUACUGUGUUCCUUCCUGAGAAUUAAUUGAAUUCCACAAGUUGCUGUGGUCAGUAAACCUAAGUUUAAAGCUUAUAACAGCUUUAUAGUUUUUCUAGUUAUCAUAUCUCAUAUGUAUCUACCAUUUUUCUUUACUAUGUUCUCUUUCUUUAAUUCCCCUUUGAGAUGAAAGGGGCAAAAAAUUUUAUUCAUGGCUUUGGAAAAUGUAACUCAGAACUACACAAUUAUUGGAAUAUGAGAAAAAAAUCCAUUCUAUUGUCAAGUGACUGCUCAUAACAACUUUACAAGACCAUUAAACAAUCAAAUUUUAAGAUUUUCAUUUUCCGGGGACAAAGUUUGUGGCGUAGGCCCAGGCGUUGUUGUUAACUGGAUCUGCAAGGUGGUCAGCAAGGUUCUCCAAUGGACCCUUUCCAGUAACAAUGGCUUGAACAAAGAAUCCAAACAUAGAGAACAUAGCAAGUCUACCGUUCUUAAUCUCCUUUACCUUGAGCUCAGCAAAUGCCUCUGGAUCAUCAGCAAGACCUAAUGGGUCGAAGCUGCCACCGGGGUAGAGUGGGUCGACGACUUCACCAAGAGGCCCACCAGCAAUACGGUAUCCCUCAACGGCUCCCAUCAAGACAACUUGACAAGCCCAGAUGGCCAAGAUGCUCUGUGCAUGAACCAAGCUUGGGUUGCCCAAGUAGUCAAGUCCACCCUCGCUGAAGAUCUGGGAUCCAGCCUUGAACCACACAGCCUCACCAAACUGGACACCGUUACGGGCCAAGAGCUCGGGGAAAACACAUCCAAGAGCACCAAGCAUAGCCCAUCUGCAGUGGAUCACCUCGAGUUCCCGGUUCUUGGCAAAGGUUUCAGGGUCUGCUGAAAGUCCAGCGGUAUCCCACCCAUAGUCACCAGGGAAUUCACCAGUCAAGUAGCUUGGGGGCUCACCAGAGAAUGGGCCCAAGUACUUAACACGGUCUGGACCAUACCAUGGGCUGCUAGAUGCGGCUGGCUUGGAGGCAGUCUUUCUCAUGGAGAUCCUUCCAUUUCCAGAGAUUUCUGAGUCAGAUGGUGAGAG